RNAcentral lists this small nuclear RNA (107 nucleotides) under Tursiops truncatus (common bottlenose dolphin). The record is from RNAcentral. Lineage: Eukaryota; Metazoa; Chordata; Mammalia; Artiodactyla; Delphinidae.
GUGCUCACUUCGGCAGCACAUAUACUAAAAUUGGAACGACACAGAGAAGAUCAGCAUGGCCCCUGCACAAGGAUGACAUGCAAAUUCGUGAAGCGUUCCAUAUUUUU